UUAAUAAAUAUAAAUAAUAAUUCGUAAUUUUUUUACUCCAUAUAUUUGUUUUAACAAACGUGCUGUAUAUAAAAGGGAAACUACGCGUCUCGUCGGUAACGUUAUGUCCAUAUAAAGUAUAGUUUUAUGCGUCUUGUCGAUGAAGUGUUAAAUUGCCUGUUGUUUUUGAGCCUCUAAGAAUAGAUACUUCAAAGUUUGUUCAGACAACGUUCGCUAUUUCAUGACGAUGAAAUUCGGACGUAUGUAGGUGGCGAUGUUUUAUAUUUAAUGACCUUCAGCGAUUGAGAUUGGGACAAGUGGGAAGACCAUGUAAUGUUUCGAUAUAAGCCAAAUCUUAUGAUCAAUUUUGUGCGCACAAAACUUUAAGCCGAUUCUGAUAAGUCUAGUGAGACACGAUAUGAGCAUUCUCUCACUAUACAUACGCGAACGCGCUCGCAUACAUACGCGCGUCGUAUUAUAUACACUAAAGAGGUAUGGAGCACACACACGUAAUAUGAAAAAAAGUGCAGUAGUAAGGCAGGUAGAGGUAAGCUACAGACGUGAGAGUGAGUGGGGCCAUAGUUGAACGGCAGCAGAACCGUUGGUAUAUCUCAGUACAGAGUUGGACGUCCGUCGUCACUCUUAUUCGUCGUUUUCUAUUUUGUUUCUCUCGUUCUUUUGGUGGUAUAGAUGUAGAAAUUUCACUGUACAGCACAACGUAUUUAAAAUUGUGUUGAUAAUAAGUGUCACAGUGAUCUCUUUUUUUUUUUAAAGAUAGAAAAUGCAUGAAAAACGGACGGUGAUUGAUAAUGUAUUUAAAAUUUAAAACGCAUUAAAAAUGUUGGGCUAAUAGAAUUUUAAUUUGACAAUAACAGAUGAAUAUUCGCAAAUGCUGAAAAAUAUCAGGGCUGCACGUGAAAGUUAUAAGUUUAUCGAUGCAUACAGUAAGGAAUUAAAUAUUUUUCGCAAAUUUUCUUAAAUUUAGACCGAAGAAUAACCAGGAAAAGAUUAAUAAGUGUUCUUUCAGACGUUUUUAAAAUUUUAAAAUGAAUCUGUUUAUAUAAAUGUGAACGCUUGUUAUGGAUAAAUUUCAUAUUUUCGCGCGUAAAAGCGAAUAACAAUAAAUUGUUGUUUUCGAAUGAUACUAACGAAAAUAUAUGAAUAUUAUAAUACUAUCAUUUAUACAUUACAUUUGCUAUUUUGCAAAGAACUUUUUCUCAAAUAAAUAGCAAGUUUUGUAUGUUUUUAGAAAUCUUAAAAAGAAAGAUAUUAUUUGUAUAUCUGUAUAUAUAUAAUAUAAAUUAAAAGGAAUUAUUGUCAUAUAAACAUUGCACAUGAUUCUAUAAAGAAGUACGAAAAAUAUAUAACUUUUCGGGUCAUAUUUUUUCUUUUGCAUAUUUUUAUUUGUUGGCCUUCGAAAUGUAUAUAUUUAAUGCGCAUAUGCACGAUCAUGGAGCAUUGAUAUUUGAGAAUUUUUGCGAUAAAUUGUGAAUCUAGAACGCGUAUCUUUUAAAAUUUUAUCAUGAAAAGAGGUUAAGUUAUUAUAUAUAAAAUAUGCCUUCCGGAAUUUGAUAAACUAAUGCAAGAAAAAAGUUGGAAUUCAAAGUAUUACGUGUGCAAAAAUGCAGAAUACUUGGUGACCGAAAAGUUUGCUUUGCAUGCGAGAAACGUGAAAUUACUACAUAUGUGUUAAAAACGACGGAGAAAAUUGCAUACAUGUGUGGAUUACUGACGACGACCAGACAAAGGAGAAAAAAAACUGAGAGAAAGAAAGAGAGAAAUAUUCCGUUAAAAAAUGGCUUUAAUAAUACCUAGAAACAAAUCGCCCGUUGUACAUGACAAGGAUACUGUUCCAGCAUACGAUGUACGUAAUGCUUACAUGCCUUACAUGCAUGACUUUUUAAAUGAUUAUCCGUAUUGCUAUACAGGCGUAGGUAUAGCUAUGUUACAUAUUUUGAAAAUCAAUUCUUCCAUUACACAGAAAAUAUAACGUUAAUGCUAAUGAUGUAGUGCUAAUUAUUGCUACAUCUUCAUUUAACCAUUGCUAUUGCAAUUCUAAUAUGCGUGUACGUGCAAAGAAAAAAUUUAAUUUGAAAAUGUUUUGGUUAAUUCAAUACAAUUAUAAAAUUAAUCAAAAGCUUUAAAAAAU
Long non-coding RNA from Wasmannia auropunctata (little fire ant), 2128 nucleotides. RefSeq lists it as uncharacterized. The record is from RefSeq and is a predicted model, not a curated record. The transcript has 3 exons. Lineage: Eukaryota; Metazoa; Arthropoda; Insecta; Hymenoptera; Formicidae.